RNAcentral lists this non-coding RNA (81 nucleotides) under Deltaproteobacteria bacterium. Its description in RNAcentral is "c-di-GMP sequence". It matches the Rfam family "c-di-GMP-I-GGC riboswitch aptamer". The record is from RNAcentral. Lineage: Bacteria; Pseudomonadati; Myxococcota; Myxococcia.
GUAGCAAAAGCCAAACCCAUCGCGAGGUGGGGGCGGAAAGCCACGGGUCUCUAUUUGGGAGAGAUAGCCGGGUUGCCGAAA